Molecule: RNase P RNA, 341 nt
Filed under: Lachnospiraceae bacterium
Lineage: Bacteria; Bacillati; Bacillota; Clostridia; Lachnospirales; Lachnospiraceae
Description: RNase P RNA component class A
Rfam family: Bacterial RNase P class A
About the family: Ribonuclease P (RNase P) is a ubiquitous endoribonuclease, found in archaea, bacteria and eukarya as well as chloroplasts and mitochondria. Its best characterised activity is the generation of mature 5'-ends of tRNAs by cleaving the 5'-leader elements of precursor-tRNAs.
Source: RNAcentral
UAAGCAGGACAGGUGAUCGCGGCCGUAUUUAUACGGGUGAGGAAAGUCCGGGCUUCACAGGGCAGGAUGCCGGAUAACGUCCGGUGGAGGUGACUCCAAGGCCAGUGCAACAGAAAUAUACCGCCUCGCAGGAGGUAAGGGUGGAAAGGCAGUGUAAGAGACUACCGCCUGCCUGGUAACAGGCGGGGCACAUGUAAACCCCAUUCGAAGCAAGACCAAAACGAAGGCGCUAAGGUUUGCCCGACCAGCCUUCAGGUGGGUCGCUUGAGGCUAUUGGUAACAGUAGUCCUAGAUAGAUGAUCACUCAACGACAUAACCCGGCUUAUCGUCCUGCUUAUUUU